AGCCCUGAGGUGUUGAACAUAUUAGAUUGCAAAUCUUAAGCAGCCGGUUAACGCCGGCCGGGGCUU
This 66-nucleotide transfer RNA is filed under the name Syngnathus typhle (broad-nosed pipefish). RNAcentral describes it as "tRNA-Cys". It matches the Rfam family "tRNA". Rfam says of the family: Transfer RNA (tRNA) molecules are approximately 80 nucleotides in length. Their secondary structure includes four short double-helical elements and three loops (D, anti-codon, and T loops). Lineage: Eukaryota; Metazoa; Chordata; Actinopteri; Syngnathiformes; Syngnathidae. The record is from RNAcentral.